Molecule: long non-coding RNA, 1705 nt
Filed under: Citrus maxima (pomelo)
Lineage: Eukaryota; Viridiplantae; Streptophyta; Magnoliopsida; Sapindales; Rutaceae
Description: long non-coding RNA (CMAX_LNC000948)
Source: RNAcentral
GUGGUUCCAUGAUACUACUCUAUGCAAAGCCUUAAAAAUUCACACCAUUACUACGGAAACACCCAUCUUGGAAUCAAUGCUACGAAAGAUUUUAAUUUUUCACUUUGUUAGUCCUCUCUAUUAUAAAUUGUUAUACAUCAAUCCCAAGGCUAAACAAAAACAAUCAAAUCAAUUAGAAGAAGUCUUUCAACAUGACACAACAAUGCAACAAAGAAUUCCAGUUCCUUCUUCUCUGUAUUAAUACACUAAUACCAGUUUAACACGAGGAUAUAUAAAAAAUAAUUCAUUACUCUACUGUCCUCAAUUUUUACCAGCAGGUAAACAACAGAUUAAUUAAUAAGUUCAUUAAAAUUAAAAAAAUAAAAAAAUGAAAAGAAACCACCUGUUCUAUGACAAACAAACAUAAUUUGCCCAAAGAAAUCACUGUAUAACACAUAACAAUACAAUCAAAGCUCUUAAUUCAUUCUUCUCCUUAUCAAUGCACCGAUACCGUUUUACAUGUGGAUUCACAAAAGCAUCAUCACUCUCUACUCCCCACCAUUUUCAGCAAAUAAACCUCGAAUUAAUUGACACAUUCAUUGAUCCGAUAACAAUAAGAUUGGCAGAUUAGCAUAAAUUAACCUCAAACCUUCCCAACAGACUGACAAUAACUCAAAUCCCAAAAUGUGAGAAGCAGAACAGCAUUCGAGCUAAAAAUGUAUCAAAACAUAAAGAGGCUCAAAAACUCAUGCACCUAUGGAGGAAAAAUUGAAGAUUUGAAGUCCUAGUGACCUAAAUAACAAUGAUGGACUUCUAACUAAAAUUGGGCUCCAAAUAAAACUAAUUGAGUAAACUGCAACCUUAUGGAACUGAAAUAUUCAAAUGCAGAGCUGACAGAAUAGUUACAAAUAAUGAGAAUAUUAGUUCUUUUUAGUUAACGCAAAAAAAAAAAAUAUAUGCAAGCGAUAAGUGAACGUAAGUGUUCGAUAAUUUGCGUGAGAGAAGAAAUUUAGCUAGAAGAAUUCUUCAAAGACGAAAAAGAAAUCUUGAAAGACGAAAGAGAGAGGCAGACAUAUGAGUUACAAGUUGGGAUUUGGAUUCAAUGCUCAGCUGACUUUCCCAAUCUCAUCAAACUCUUGCCCUUCUUUUUCUUACGUUUCUUUCUUUGCGUUUUUGUUUUUUAAAUUUUAAAAUAUUUUGGGCAGCUAGUUUUUUUUUUUUUCUUACUUCCAAUCUCAUGAACACACGACCAUCACAAAACCUUGAUUUAUUUGGAGAAAAUAAAAGUUAAAAGUCUCCUAAUUAAAAAAAAAAAAAGAUUAGAGAAAUAGAGAAGAAAAAAUAAAAAUAAAUCAAGAUUUCACUAUAAAAAUCGAAUCCAGUAAAUCUAAAUUAGAUUCCUUGCAUAUAUAACAAAUUUAAUUUCCUCAUCAAUCGCUUCCAAUAAUUAAAACCAAAAAAAAAAAUAUUUAUAUUUCUUUAUAUACGCCAUUGUUGUUGAAACUUUGAGCUUGAAUAGAGUUGUUGUGAAUUUGUCAAAGAAAAUGAGGGGGAAAGGAAAACGAGAGAAAAAAAGACAAAAAGAAAUAAGUAAGAUGAAAAAAAAAAGUCUGUUAAUAAAGUGCAUUUGAGUUAAUAAUUUAAAAAAAAAAAUUGCCAUUGAGUUAAUUGCUGGCAGUUGAGGCUUGUUAAUAAAAAACAAAUUACAUUCAAUUAAGCAUGGGAU